Molecule: long non-coding RNA, 470 nt
Filed under: Physcomitrium patens
Lineage: Eukaryota; Viridiplantae; Streptophyta; Bryopsida; Funariales; Funariaceae
Description: long non-coding RNA (PPAT_LNC009079)
Source: RNAcentral
UAUUAGAAUGAUUACAAAUAUAUCUCAAACAUAUUUCAAAUAUAUUUCAAUUAAAUAUUAAUUUAAUCUUAGUUGAAAUCCUAUUAGACUUCAUUCAAACUUUAGGCCAAAAACAAAUAAAUCUUAAAUCCUAAAUAAACUCAAAUAAAAUCCUAAAUCCUAAAUCAAAUCUUGACCAAAUCCUAAACUCUAAAUCAACUUCUAACCGAAUCUUAAUCCUAAAUCAAAUCCUAUCCAAAUCUUAAAUACUAAAUCAAACCCAAAAUCCUAAACCAAAUCAUAAUCCUAAAUCAAAUCCUAAUCAAAUCCUAAUUCCAAAUCAAAUCCUAACCAAAUUCUAAUCCUAAAUCAAAUCCUAAUCAAAUCCUAAACCCUAAAUCAAAUCCUAAAUCCUAAAUCAAAUCCUAAAUCCAAACCAAAUCCUAAAUCCUAAACAAAAUCUUAAUCAAAUCCUAACCCUAAAUCAAAUC